GACGAACGCUGGCGGCGUGCCUAAUACAUGCAAGUAGAACGCUGAAGCUUGGUGCUUUGCACCGAGCGGAUGAGUUGCGAACGGGUGAGUAACGCGUAGGUAACCUGCCUGGUAGCGGGGGAUAACUAUUGGAAACGAUAGCUAAUACCGCAUAAUAGCAGUUGUUGCAUGACAACUGUUUAAAAGGUGCAAUUGCAUCACUACCAGAUGGACCUGCGUUGUAUUAGCUAGUUGGUGGGGUAACGGCUCACCAAGGCGACGAUACAUAGCCGACCUGAGAGGGUGAUCGGCCACACUGGGACUGAGACACGGCCCAGACUCCUACGGGAGGCAGCAGUAGGGAAUCUUCGGCAAUGGACGGAAGUCUGACCGAGCAACGCCGCGUGAGUGAAGAAGGUUUUCGGAUCGUAAAGCUCUGUUGUAAGAGAAGAACGAGUGUGAGAGUGGAAAGUUCACACUGUGACGG
This 466-nucleotide ribosomal RNA is filed under the name Streptococcus sp. oral taxon E98. Its description in RNAcentral is "bacterial SSU rRNA". It matches the Rfam family "Bacterial small subunit ribosomal RNA", at positions 28 to 475 of the family's 1533-position model. The record is from RNAcentral. Lineage: Bacteria; Bacillati; Bacillota; Bacilli; Lactobacillales; Streptococcaceae.